Non-coding RNA from Rattus norvegicus (Norway rat), 473 nucleotides. The record is from RefSeq and is a predicted model, not a curated record. Lineage: Eukaryota; Metazoa; Chordata; Mammalia; Rodentia; Muridae.
AGUGCGUGCGUAGUGCAUGCGUGUGUGUCGUAUACUUCCAUUAUUGAAGGGUUAUAAAUAAGCUAUCCACACAGGAAGAACAUGAGAAAACAGGGAGAUGGAGUUACAGUAUUCCAAUUCAUCUGAUGAUCUUUGAGCAAAGACUUGGACAAGCAUGUAUUUUCUCCAUGUCGUCUAUUCUUAACAAUGGGUCUUCAAGAAUAUCUUUGCUGUGUUGGUGACUAAGAGCUGAGCAUUGAGAACUUAAGGAAGCAGGCAGAUGGAGCAAGCUGGCCACUGGGAGCCAAAGCCCUGAGAACUAAUCCAGAAAAUGAGGAAAGAAAUCUACACUAUCCUAAAGGAUCCUCAAAUCUAAGUUAUCCUCAAAAAGAUGGGGCUGGGGGAGAAGGUUUGAAGAAAAUAGAAAUAAAAAUCAUUAGAUCAUAUGUUACUUUGCUUUCUGUUACAAUUAAUAAAACUCUGACCAAAGACAA